This 301-nucleotide ribosomal RNA is filed under the name uncultured bacterium. RNAcentral's name for it is "partial 16S ribosomal RNA". It matches the Rfam family "Bacterial small subunit ribosomal RNA", at positions 509 to 807 of the family's 1533-position model. The record is from RNAcentral.
CAGCAGCCACGGUAAUACGUAGGUGGCAAGCGUUGUCCGGAAUUAUUGGGCGUAAAGGGCUCGCAGGCGGUUUCUUAAGUCUGAUGUGAAAGCCCCCGGCUCAACCGGGGAGGGUCAUUGGAAACUGGGAAACUUGAGUGCAGAAGAGGAGAGUGGAAUUCCACGUGUAGCGGUGAAAUGCGUAGAGGUGUGGAGGAACACCAGUGGCGAAGGCGACUCUCUGGUCUGUAACUGACGCUGAGGAGCGAAAGCGUGGGGAGCGAACAGGAUUAGAUACCCCCGUAGUCCCUGUCUCUUAUAC